AGAGUUUGAUCCUGGCUCAGAUUGAACGCUGGCGGAAUGCUUUACACAUGCAAGUCGAACGGUAGAGGGGGCAACCCCUCGAGAGUGGCGAACGGGUGAGUAAUAUAUCGGAACGUGCCCAGUCGUGGGGGAUAACGUAGCGAAAGUUACGCUAAUACCGCAUACGAUCUAAGGAUGAAAGCGGGGGAUCGCAAGACCUCGCGCGAUUGGAGCGGCCGAUAUCAGAUUAGGUAGUUGGUGGGGUAAAGGCUCACCAAGCCAACGAUCUGUAGCUGGUCUGAGAGGACGACCAGCCACACUGGAACUGAGACACGGUCCAGACUCCUACGGGAGGCAGCAGUGGGGAAUUUUGGACAAUGGACGCAAGUCUGAUCCAGCCAUUCCGCGUGCAGGAUGAAGGCCCUCGGGUUGUAAACUGCUUUUGUACGGAACGAAAAGGUUUCUAUUAAUACUAGGAGCUCAUGACGGUACCGUAAGAAUAAGCACCGGCUAACUACGUGCCAGCAGCCGCGGUAAUACGUAGGGUGCAAGCGUUAAUCGGAAUUACUGGGCGUAAAGCGUGCGCAGGCGGUUAUAUAAGACAGAUGUGAAAUCCCCGGGCUCAACCUGGGAACUGCAUUUGUGACUGUAUAGCUAGAGUACGGUAGAGGGGGAUGGAAUUCCGCGUGUAGCAGUGAAAUGCGUAGAUAUGCGGAGGAACACCGAUGGCGAAGCAAUCCCCUGGACCUGUACUGACGCUCAUGCACGAAAGCGUGGGGAGCAAACAGGAUUAGAUACCCUGGUAGUCCACGCCCUAAACG
Molecule: ribosomal RNA, 800 nt
Filed under: uncultured bacterium
Lineage: Bacteria
Description: bacterial SSU rRNA
Rfam family: Bacterial small subunit ribosomal RNA
Source: RNAcentral